Molecule: non-coding RNA, 4883 nt
Organism: Monodelphis domestica (gray short-tailed opossum)
Lineage: Eukaryota; Metazoa; Chordata; Mammalia; Didelphimorphia; Didelphidae
Source: RefSeq, a predicted model, not a curated record
UCUGGGGUCACGGCAACGCCGCUGUCACACAAAGCCUUGCGGCACCCAGCACGCCCCGGAAGUGCUUCCUGCCCCGGGUUCCAGGAACCCUGAUGGCUCUGUCGGGGAACAGCCAGAGCCCCCUUGUGGGCUUUGUCCUUGUCCCUCCCUCACUGUGGCCACCUGCUGACCAGAGAGACACUGGCCCUGGGCCGGCAAACCAGAGUCCGCACAGCUUGUCCCACGCCCAAGGUGGGGAGGAAGAGAGGCUGGGGAGCCGUCCUGUAUGUAGCCCGUAUUCACCCAGCCUGAUGCUCUCACCCACGCGGUGGCCUCGCAAGUUUGAGACCUGCGGUGAAUGGCCUAGGAGUCGUGGGACUUCCCCAGAGGCUGGAGCUGGAGGGAUGGGGCCACCUGUUGGGAACCCUGGAGUCACGAGUGAGACUGGACUCUGACCACAGCAUUCUGGCGUCAGAACAGGACCAUUCCCGGCUAGGUAAUGGGCAUUGAUGAAAGAGGUCAUGCAAGAGGGAUAGAGUAGACAGUCACAUCUCACCAAGGACCACUCUGUGGACUCUGUCAAGGAAUCAUGGUCUGAUGGCCCCCAGCAAUUUUGUUGUAGAGGACUGCUCUUUGGUACCGAUCAGGAGAAGGGGUAUUAGAGUUAAAUCCAGGUGCUGAAUGAUGAUGAGCUAUGAGGAAAGACUGGCUGACUCACAUCCAACAAACUGAAGCAAAACAAAAAAGCAAUAGCUUGGCAGACAGAAAGGAAAGUGGGUGAACUUGGAACAGAAACCCGUGUGGGGUCAGAUAAGCUGGACUUUCCCCAGCUGCUCCUAGGCUCCCCGCAGGCACUGAUGCCCACUCGGAGGCUUUGGUUCUAGAAGCUAAGCUUGCUCUUGUUUAAAAAACAAUCCGGGUCAAUUCUGUGUUCUCCUUUUCUGCGUGCCCUUUCCUGGGCAUGUACCCAGUGGGCACUUGCUCUCAGCCUCCUCCCUGAAAUACCUGCUCUCCGGAAGGGUUCUGUUAUCAGCCAUCUCCACCUGGGGGCUCGGAUGAAUGGCCAACUCAACUGGGAUCCAACAGCAUGAUAAGGCAGCCAAGAAAGCCGGCUCCAUCUUGGGCUGCGUUCAGGGAAGCCAGCUAGCCUACACUGAGGAGGGAGUCAUUGUGCCGUCCUUUGCCCCAGUGAGGGCACAACUAAAGUAUUCUAUUUGGCUCUGGGUGCCAUAGUGUAGGACGGGCGCUGACAAUCUGGAGGACGGCCAGAGGAACAUGACCAGGAGAGUGAAAUGUCUCAAGGCUGUGCUAUAUGAGAAUGGGAGAAGACAAUAACUAGGGGGCAGCUGGGUGGCUCAGUGGAUGGAGAGCCAGGCCUAGAGACGGGAGGUCCCGGGUUCAAAUCUGGCCUCAGACACUUCCCAGCUGUGUGACCCUGGGCAAGUCACUUGACCCUCAUUGCCUAGCCCUGACCACUCUUCUGCCUUGGAAUAAUAAUCACAAUAAUGAUUCCAAGAUGGAUGGUAAGUGUUUAAAAAAAAAAGACAAUUCCCAAUUCUUGGGAAAGUGCCCUUAACUUCCGUUUGCCUCAGUUUCUUCAUCUAUAAAAUGGGGAUAGUAAUAGCACCUGUCUCUCAGAAUAUUUGAGAGGAUCAAAUGAGAUAAGAUUUGUAAAACAUUUAACACGUGCCUGGCCUAGCAAGCACUAUACAACUGUUCGUUAUCAUUAUUAUCACCAGCCUGGAGAAGCGAAGACUUCAUGGGGACAGGGGAGAGGCGUUCAAAUGUUGGAGGUUUGUGGGUGGAGGAGUGAGCAGACUUGUUCGUGUUGGCCCAACAGCAGAACUUGGGGCAAUAGUGAGGAGACGAUGAAGGGAAGCUGCCGAGAAGACAGCUGAGGCUUGAUGCAAGAAGAGACUUCCCACACGUCAGAGCUGUCCGAAACUGGCCUGGAAGGCUCUGGAUCUGAGGGUUCCUGCUCUCUGAGGGUCUAAGGGUCUCUUGUUGGGAGGGGGGAGGAGAGCCCUAUUCCAGUGGAAGGUUUCUCAGGCCCCUGCCUGCCCCGCAGCGCUGGGAGUCUGAAUUUCUGGCCCUCGGUUCCUUCUUUCACCGAGUUGCCGAGUCUCCGGUCAACCUCCCUGGCAUGGAUAACAUCCAUAGCAGGGGGCCAUCCAAUCAUUGCUUAAAGACCUCCCGUGGAAGGAAACCUACUGCCCCAUUCCCCUGGGGGACAUCCCCUCCUAGAGGGAUUUCUGGUGUCAGGUAAGAGGUAGGAAGGCCAGGAGGCCAGAUCCCCCUUCCUGCCGCCAGUGCGUCCAAAGCCCAAGCCCGGUGCUGUGAGCCGGGAGCGUGGCUGCCCACGUUGGGAGGCGAGUCCAUCUGUCCAGAAAUCCGAAGGCGUGUUUGCGGUGCUCAUGGGAUGAGCCCUGGAUGCAGCCGGGGAAGACAGGAAGCCCAAGGGAGCUCCCAGACUGAUGGAGAUGUGACAGAGGAGACCGUCCCUGUGCUCGGGGGGCUCCUAGUCUGAUGGCGGAGACACGGAGAGCCAAACACUGCCCAUCUCCUCCUGUAAAUGUCCUUCAGCCCUCCCCACCCACCUCAGAGAGCCAGGAUUCCACACACAGCUGCAAACUCCAGCUCUUUGUAAAAAGGGGGCCUCUUCCAGCACCCAGACCAGGGAGCACAGGCUUGGGAGUGCUGUGGCGGCCUCAGAGAGCUGAGCCCAGCAGGAGCCUGGGGCUGAGGGGAGACUCUUAGGGAGCAUCUCAAUUGGAGUCGGAUCUGACCGAGGGAAACAGCUGCUAGAACGUAAAGAACAUAGACUAUUGACUUCAGAAUGGAAAGGGACCCUGGAACACAGAAUACCAGAGACAGAAGGGGCAGUGGAGCUCAUCUAGGGCUGCCCUCUGAUUUUACAGAUGGGGAAACUGAGGUCAGUAGAGAUCGAGACUUUUCCAGGGUCACUCAGCAAGUUGGUGACAGAGAUAGAAGUAGAGCUCCAGAAUGAUCCCCAGGGGCUUUACCUUUACACCAUCAAUAUCUCCUUUUACUCUACUCAGUUCAGGACUCCCACAUUCAUUUCAAUUUAAAAAUUUUUGGUUUUUCAAUUUAAUUUAAUUUCUUAAAUUUUAGUUUUAAAUUUUAAUUUGAUUUAAAAUUGGUUUUUAAUUUUAUCUUUUAAAAUUCUGAAUUUAACAAGCACUAAAUAAAGGAACUAUUUCUACACAUAUAUGUAUACAGUAAAACAGAAAAAAGUGUUCACUAAAUUUACAUACUCAUUUUGCCCUUAAAUUUCCCAAUUAAUUCCCUAGAAUGUCUUUUUAUGUCUUUUCCUCCUUUUUGAAAUACUUAGCUCUCUCCCUUUCUCUAACUUUGCACAUUGUCCAGCUUAGAGUUCUGUUCAUCAGUCAGUCAGCGUGUCAACAACUGAGCACCUACUGUGUGCCAGGUACUACAGUGAUAAGUAGGGAAUGUCCCAUAGGGGAAUGGGGCAGUAGGUUUCCUUCCACGGGAGGUCUUUAAGCAAUGAUUGGAUGGCCCCCUGCUAUGGAUGUUAUCCAUGCCAGGGAGGUUGAAUUGAGACUCAACUGAGUGAAAGAAGGAACCCAGGGCCAGAAAUUCACAGACUCCUAGUGUUGCAGGGCAGGCAGGGGCCUGAGAAACCUUCCACUGGAAUAGGGCUCUCCUCCCCCCUCCCAACAAGUGAUCCUUAGACCCUCAGAGAGCAGGAACCCUCAUAUGUGGAGCCGUCCAGGCCAAUUUUGGGCAGCUCUAACGUUUGGGAAAUCUCUUCUUGCAUGAAGCCUCAGUUGUCUUCUCUGUAGCUUCCCUUCCUCCUCACCUCAAUUUAAGACAGAAGAACCCCAAGGGCGAGGCAUUUGGGGUUAAGUGACUUGCCCAGGGUCCUAUAGCUAGGAAGUGUCUGAAGUCGGAUUUGAAUCCAGGUCCUCCCAACUCUAGGCCUGGUGCCUCCCCUUGACUUUUAUUUCAUGGAUUUCACCACAGCCUAAGAAUUCACCCCAGAGUAGCUCACAGCCCUCUGUGACAGGCAUCCCAGGCUGGGCCUCUUUGCAGGCUGGGACCUGGCUUGACAUCUUUCCAGUUGGCUAAGUCCUGCUGGAGCUGUGCCCCUCAAUCACUGACUUCAUGAGCCUCGGCUCACCUGCGCAGCCCAGUGAGGACGUCUUCAUGCUGUGGUUGUCACCACGUUCAUUCUCUUCUUUUGCGAGUUUGUUUUUGAAAGUACCUCCCACUUAUGUCAGCUUUACAAUUUACAAAGCCCAUAUAAAUGUCCAUUAUCUCAUUUCAGCCUCAUUACAUGCCCUCCUCCCUCCGGCCCUCCCCGGGCUGUGGAUAGCACAUUAUUAGCCCUAUUCCACAGGUGAGAAAGCUUGAGCUCUGAGGUGAAGAAAUCUGCCCUGGGUCACCCAGGGACUUUGGAAACCAAGUCAACAGUAGAAAAUACUGGAGAGCACCCCAAUGCUUGGGGCUGGGGAAAGGGAAAAGUCCUUUAUUGUUGUUGUUCAGUUGUGUGCUAGUUUGAGGUUUUCUCAAUAAAGAUACUAGAGAGAUUGGCCAUUUCCUUCUCCAGCUCAUUUUACAGAUGAAGAAACUGAGGCAAAUAGGAGUAAGUGACUUGUCCAGGGACACACAGCUUGUAAGUGUCUGAGAUCAGAUUUGAACUCAGGAAAAUGAGUCUUCUUAACUCCAGGCCUGGUACUUUAUCCACUGCACCACCUAGCUGCCCCAGUCACUUAUUAGGUACCUACUAUAUGGCAGACACUGUGAAAGCACCUUGCAAAUAUUAUCUCAUUUGAUUUUCUUUAUCUGUGUGUGAGAUCAUGAUUGCUAUUCCUGCUUUCUUUGUCUCUUUGAAGCCCAAUAGAUUCUGCUCUAGCCUCUUA